GCUGGCGUAGCUCAGGUGGGAGAGCAGCUGAUUUGUAAUCAGCAGGUCGGAGGUUCGAGUCCUCUCGCCAGCUCCU
Molecule: transfer RNA, 76 nt
Filed under: Acidobacteriota bacterium
Lineage: Bacteria; Pseudomonadati; Acidobacteriota
Description: Acidobacteria bacterium tRNA-Thr
Rfam family: tRNA
About the family: Transfer RNA (tRNA) molecules are approximately 80 nucleotides in length. Their secondary structure includes four short double-helical elements and three loops (D, anti-codon, and T loops).
Source: RNAcentral